GACGAACGCUGGCGGCGUGCUUAACACAUGCAAGUCGAACGUGAUUUUUGUGGAAAUUCUUUCGGGAAUGGAAAUGAAAUGAAAGUGGCGAACGGGUGAGUAACACGUGAGCAACCUACCUUACACAGGGGGAUAGCCGCUGGAAACGACGAUUAAUACCGCAUGAGACCACAGAAUCGCAUGAUAUAGGGGUCAAAGAUUUAUCGGUGUAAGAAGGGCUCGCGUCUGAUUAGCUAGUUGGAAGGGUAAAGGCCUACCAAGGCGACGAUCAGUAGCCGGUCUGAGAGGAUGAACGGCCACAUUGGAACUGAGACACGGUCCAAACUCCUACGGGAGGCAGCAGUGGGGAAUAUUGCACAAUGGGGGGAACCCUGAUGCAGCGACGCCGCGUAAGCGAAGAAGGUUUUCGAAUCGUAAAGCUCUGUCCUAUGAGAAGAUAAUGACGGUAUCAUAGGAGGAAGCCCCGGCUAAAUACGUG
This 478-nucleotide ribosomal RNA is filed under the name uncultured bacterium. RNAcentral describes it as "partial 16S ribosomal RNA". It matches the Rfam family "Bacterial small subunit ribosomal RNA", at positions 28 to 507 of the family's 1533-position model. The record is from RNAcentral.